Non-coding RNA from Equus caballus (horse), 413 nucleotides. The record is from the annotation of a RefSeq genome assembly. NCBI's taxonomy places the organism in Eukaryota, Metazoa, Chordata, Mammalia, Perissodactyla, Equidae.
CAGCUUUCUCCUAAGAUGAGGCUGAGGUCUCUGGGGAAGGCAGAGUGUAGUCUAGAAGAAGAUGAGGCUGUUGGGUCUUCUCCUUUGCCUGGUGACGGCUCCCCAAGGUGUCCUGUCCCAGGUGCAGCUGAAGGAGUCGGGCCCAGGACAGGUGAAGCCCUCACAGACCCUCUCCCUCACCUGCACUGUCACUGGAGGCUCCAUCACAAGCAGGUAUUAUGGCUGGAGCUGGAUCCGCCAGACCCCAGGGAAGGGGCUGGAGUACAUUGGGAGCAUAGCUUAUAGUGGUAGCACUUACUACAGCCCAUCCUUCAAGAGCCGCGCCUCCAUCUCCAGAGACACGUCCAAGAACCAGUUCUCCCUGCAGCUGAGCUCCGUGACCACCGAGGACACGGCCGUUUAUUACUGUGCAA